UCCCUGAUAGUCCAGUGGUUAGGACACUGCAUUUCCACUGCAGGUGAGGGGGGUGGGGGGGGGGGCUGGAUUAAAUCCCUAGUCAGGAAC
RNAcentral lists this transfer RNA (90 nucleotides) under Bos taurus (domestic cattle). It matches the Rfam family "tRNA". From Rfam's summary of the family: Transfer RNA (tRNA) molecules are approximately 80 nucleotides in length. Lineage: Eukaryota; Metazoa; Chordata; Mammalia; Artiodactyla; Bovidae. The record is from Rfam by way of RNAcentral. RNAcentral also lists the same sequence under 2 other names.